Molecule: non-coding RNA, 2960 nt
Organism: Podarcis lilfordi (Lilford's wall lizard)
Lineage: Eukaryota; Metazoa; Chordata; Lepidosauria; Squamata; Lacertidae
Source: the annotation of a GenBank genome assembly
AAAUCUGGGGCUGUCUCUUGAAAACAGGGACACUUGGCAGGUCUGCUGAGGUGCCCAGAUGGGAGACCACCAGGGAACCCAUGGUAUGGUGCUCAGAAUUAUACAGUCAAAACGUACUAUGUAAAUACAUAUAUAGACACACUGUCCUUUUUGUCUUUUCUCACGAAAUAAUAUUUCACUAAGUCAGAAAGAGGCCUGCUCAUGAAAGGGCAUCUGUGGACCUGAGCCUCCAAAAUAGCUCUACUUGGGAGUAAUUUUUUCUGACCUCAGUGGAAAUUAGUUCCUAGUGAGCAUGCUUGGGAUUGUGGUAUAAGGAACAUGACCCAACACUGGUGUCAAGAAAGGGGAUAGCUAGCUUUAUUCAAGUUUGCUACAUGUUUGGGGGGCUCUAAGAAGAAUCCCAUGCUUGGGUGGGUCAUCAAGAAAGAUUUCAAAAAUGUGUGCAGCACGGUGAGGGAGAAGAAGAGAAGAGUUGUGUCAUUCACACAUCAUUAAGAAUGCCACACACAUGAGCCCUUAGACACCUCUGGAAGUUGUGCACAAUGGCUUCCACAUCUUGCUGGGCUACACAACUCCCACCAGUCCCAGCCAACAUGGCCAACGGUCAGGGAUGAUGGGAGUUGUUCUCCACUAACAUCUGGAGUGCACCACAUUGGUUACUCCCCAAGCAUUAUGGUGUUUAAACCUUAAUGUCUUAGAGCUCAGGCAAGUCACAUCAGCAUGGUUUCCAUAGUGUCAGAUAUGUUUCUGUUUGUGCAUGCACCAGGGGACAUUAACAGGCCAGGGAUGUCUUUGCCUUAUGCAACUGGUGCUCACACCUUGACUAGAGGCUUAAGGACUCCAAUCCAUUUCAGAAACCAUAUCAAAGAGUAGGAUUUUAGAACAGGAUACAUGGGCAUUCUGGAUGUCCGUUGAACAAGGAUUAAAAGCCCAGCACUUGAAACUGAGUGCACGCAGCAAAUGGAACUGUGAACAUCAUGAUUCAGCCGACACAGUCGUCCUCAGCAACAAAAGUUACCCCGGCACGUUCUUCAUUUUUAUACUUCAUUCGAAAUCUGGGAUUUGGUACAGGUGAUUUCAGUAUCUCUGCCUUGAGAGUAUCAUCUCCUCAUGGCCCCUCCUUGGUGGCUUUCUGAGAUCACAGUUUUAGGCGGGAAAUUGGAUGGGCUGGGUUUUUUUUUGUUUUGACAUUUUAAAGGUUUGUAAUGGUGGUUUUAAUAUGUAAAUUGUUUAAAAAACCAGCCUCCAACAUUUAUCCAAUAAAAAUGGGGACGUCCCAUUCCAUAAUGAUAAUUUUACUCUUUAUACCCCACACAUCUUACUGGGUUGCCCCAGCCACUCUGGACAGCUUCCAACAUAUAUAAAAACAUAAUAAAACAUUAAACAUUUUUUUAAAAACCCUUCCCUAUACAGGAUUGCCUUCAGACGGCUCUGGGGUCGGAUAACUCCAUACCCUCCUAUAUUUCUCCAAUAAAAAUAGAGAUAUUCUAAGGAAAGGUAGGACUUUCUGGGAUCAAAUCAGAAACCAGGGUGGCUUCUCUAAAUCAGGGACGUCCCUGGAAAAUAGGGACACUUGGAGGGUCUGAAAAAUGUGUAUUGUUUCAACUCUGUGUGAACCACCCAGAGAGAACUUUGCUGACUAGGCAGUCAAUAAAGGUAUACAUAAAUACAGUGGUGCCUCGCAAGACGAAAUUAAUUCGUUCCGCGAGUUUUGUCGUCUUGCGAUUUUUUUCGUCUUGCGAAGCACGGUGUCGGGAAAGUUUUGGAAAAGCUUCAAAAAUCACCAAAGUCUUUAAAAACCUCAAAAGGCUACCACACCGCGUUCUAUGAGUUGCUCCUCGAAGUCAAGUCGCAACUGUAUUAACGGUGUUAAGAAAAAGGAAACAAACUUGCAAGACGUUUCUGUCUUGCGAAGCAAGCCCAUAGGGAAAAUCGUCUUGCGAAGCAGCUCAAAAAACAAAAAACCCUUUCGUCUAGCGAGUUUUUUGUCUUGCGAGGUAUUUGUCUUGAGAGGUACCACUGUAAGUGCAUGAAAAGAAUUCACCUGGAAACAUUAAGAACCAUUUCUGUCAGGCAUGUCUUCAUAAAUUACUCUUUUUAAAAAACAAAAACCAAAACCCUAUGCAUACGUUUUCCUCAAUCUGUAUAUAACAUAAUGGCAUUUCUCAACUAACCCAUUUAUUGACCUAGAACGUUCCCAGAUCUUCCAUAUUAUGCCUAAAGACACAAAGGAAAAAGUCCUGUCUAGUCCUGUUUUCAGUCCUGUCCUGUCUAGGAAUAAUAGCUGCAUAAAGGAUUAAAUGACUUAAGAGAGGGAGGCCUCCCUUUCGAUGAAAUGUCCUUUGGGCCUAUUCCAACAUAAGCCAUGCUUUCGUCUUUUGUUCACCUGCACAUAACUGCCGUAUGUGCCGUAACUGGUAGCAGACACUGCACAGUCCAGCUGAUGACUGAUGGGCGCAAGAUAUCUGGCACCACCCAUUUCUGCAGGUGAAGGUGAAUGAAAGGCAAAAUACUACAAAUAGCACACACAGCUCUUAGAAGCUGGAAGCUCCACACCUUGGCUGCCUAAGAAGUAGCCCCUGACAAUAUAGCAGGGAUAGGGGCGCCAUGCUAAUAAACACUUCCUUUCUUCUAGGUGCUUACGAGUUUGCUGCCUAAUAUCUGCUCUAGUAUCUUCUCAGGUCAAGGAAAUCAAAUGAGUAAGUCCAACAGCGAGUUGCUGCUUCAGUGAUCAAAUACUGUGCAAAUUCUUACAGAGACCAAGCCAGUUUGCUUUGUAAUUCCCCGUAUAAAGGUUUCCAAUUGGGAAAGUUGACCAGCUAACUCCUGUGUGAAAGUCAUCAACUAUCACCUACCUGAAGCAGAAAAAGAGGGAUGGGAGACAUGGGAAAGCAGGCCUGAGAGACCACCUGCUUUGGGAGCUUUGCGACUUCAAGAACUGGCAUCUAGUUGGCUUGUUU